This 403-nucleotide ribosomal RNA is filed under the name Fusobacteriota bacterium. RNAcentral describes it as "Fusobacteria bacterium partial 16S ribosomal RNA". It matches the Rfam family "Bacterial small subunit ribosomal RNA", at positions 355 to 776 of the family's 1533-position model. Lineage: Bacteria; Fusobacteriati; Fusobacteriota. The record is from RNAcentral.
UGGGGAAUUUUGCACAAUGGAGGAAACUCUGAUGCAGCGACGCCGCGUGCGUGAUGAAGAUCUUCGGAUUGUAAAACUCUGUCCUUAGUGAAGAUAAUGACAGUAACUAAGAAGCAAGCCCUGGCUAAAUACGUGCCAGCAGCCGCGGUAAUACGUAUGGGGCAAGAGGUGUCCGGAAUUAUUGGGCGUAAAGGGUACGUAGGCGGUUUAAUAAGUCCUAAUUAAAAGGCUAGGGCUCAACCAUAGUAUGGUUAGGAAACUGUUGAAAUUGAGUAGAUGAGGGGAAAGUGGAAAUCAAUGUGUAGAGGUGAAAUGCGUAGAUAUAUGGAGGAACAACAAUGGCGAAGGCAACUUUCUGGAAUCAAACUGACGCUGAGGUACGAAGGCGUGGGGAGCAAACAGG